ACGGAAGGCAGCAGUGGGGAAUAUUGCACAAUGGGCGAAAGCCUGAUGCAGCGACGCCGCGUGAGUGAAGAAGUAUCUCGGUAUGUAAAGCUCUAUCAGCAGGGAAGAAAAUGACGGUACCUGACUAAGAAGCCCCGGCUAACUACGUGCCAGCAGCCGCGGUAAUACGUAGGGGGCGAGCGUUAUCCGGAUUUACUGGGUGUAAAGGGAGCGUAGACGGUUUGGCAAGUCUGAAGUGAAAUGCGGGGGCUCAACUCCUGAACUGCUUUGGAAACUGUCGAACUAGAGUGCAGGAGAGGUAAGUGGAAUUCCUAGUGUAGCGGUGAAAUGCGUAGAUAUUAGGAGGAACACCAGUGGCGAAGGCGGCUUACUGGACUGUAACUGACGUUGAGGCUCGAAAGCGUGGGGAGCAAACAGGAUUAGAUACCCUGGUA
RNAcentral lists this ribosomal RNA (434 nucleotides) under uncultured Lachnospiraceae bacterium. Its description in RNAcentral is "partial 16S ribosomal RNA". It matches the Rfam family "Bacterial small subunit ribosomal RNA", at positions 341 to 792 of the family's 1533-position model. The record is from RNAcentral. Lineage: Bacteria; Bacillati; Bacillota; Clostridia; Lachnospirales; Lachnospiraceae.